AAGUCGAUGCAUACUCUCCACUU
Molecule: non-coding RNA, 23 nt
Filed under: Arabidopsis thaliana (thale cress)
Lineage: Eukaryota; Viridiplantae; Streptophyta; Magnoliopsida; Brassicales; Brassicaceae
Source: RNAcentral